CACGUAGGGGGCGAGCGUUGUCCGGAUUUAUUGGGCGUAAAGAGCUCGUAGGCGGCUCGGUAAGUCGGGUGUGAAAUUUCGAGGCUCAACCUCGGAACGCCACUCGAUACUGCCAUGGCUAGAGUACGGUAGAGGAGCGUGGAAUUCCUGGUGUAGCGGUGAAAUGCGCAGAUAUCAGGAGGAACACCAACGGCGAAGGCAGCGCUCUGGGCCGAUACUGACGCUGAGGAGCGAAAGCAUGGGGAGCAAA
RNAcentral lists this ribosomal RNA (250 nucleotides) under uncultured archaeon. RNAcentral describes it as "partial 16S ribosomal RNA". It matches the Rfam family "Bacterial small subunit ribosomal RNA", at positions 524 to 772 of the family's 1533-position model. The record is from RNAcentral.